CCGAGUUAUACAACUCCCAACCCCUGUGAACAUACCUACUGUUGCUUCGGCGGAUCAGACCGCUCCGGUAACAACGGGCCGGCCCCGCCAGAGGACCCCUAACUCUGUUUCUAUAUGUUAACUUCUGAGUAAAACCAUAAAUAAAUUA
Molecule: unclassified non-coding RNA, 148 nt
Filed under: soil metagenome
Description: partial internal transcribed spacer 1
Source: RNAcentral